RNAcentral lists this ribosomal RNA (564 nucleotides) under Lodderomyces orthopsilosis. RNAcentral's name for it is "Candida orthopsilosis partial large subunit ribosomal RNA". It matches the Rfam family "Eukaryotic large subunit ribosomal RNA", at positions 76 to 656 of the family's 3401-position model. Lineage: Eukaryota; Fungi; Ascomycota; Pichiomycetes; Serinales; Debaryomycetaceae. The record is from RNAcentral.
UGCCUUAGUAGCGGCGAGUGAAGCGGCAAAAGCUCAAAUUUGAAAUCUGGCACUUUCAGUGUCCGAGUUGUAAUUUGAAGAAGGUAUCUUUGGGUCUGGCUCUUGUCUAUGUUUCUUGGAACAGAACGUCACAGAGGGUGAGAAUCCCGUGCGAUGAGAUGUCCCAGACCUAUGUAAAGUUCCUUCGAAGAGUCGAGUUGUUUGGGAAUGCAGCUCUAAGUGGGUGGUAAAUUCCAUCUAAAGCUAAAUAUUGGCGAGAGACCGAUAGCGAACAAGUACAGUGAUGGAAAGAUGAAAAGAACUUUGAAAAGAGAGUGAAAAAGUACGUGAAAUUGUUGAAAGGGAAGGGCUUGAGAUCAGACUUGGUAUUUUGUAUGUUACUCUCUCGGGGGUGGCCUCUACAGUUUACCGGGCCAGCAUCAGUUUGGGCGGUAGGACAAUUGCAAAGAAAUGUGGCACUGCCUCGGUAGUGUGUUAUAGUCUUUGUCGAUACUGCCAGCCUAGACUGAGGACUGCGGCUUCGGCCUAGGAUGUUGGCAUAAUGAUCUUAAGUCGCCCGUCUUG